AGCAGAUCUCAUGGCGCUGCAGUCUCAGCAGCACUGGCUCCCUCCAGCCCUGAGUGCCAACAGGCAAACUUUGCUGAUUUGGAAACUGCCAGCCCAGUACUGAGUCUAUGAUGGACUGGCUUCAUUCAAUAUCUAGAGUUUUCCUCUCCCUAUCUAACACUUUCCUCAUUUUUCUCCUUAUUAGGACAUCUCCUGGAUAAUUACUACAUUUGUUUUCCCUAGUGAUUGCUAGGUAUUUCCUAACAUCACUUUAAUGCUCCUGUUUGUUGAAAGUGUCUUGUCCCCUGGAUAUCCUGGGUCCUUGCUGGUAAAGAGGAAGGCCAGGCUGGCAAGUAUACAGACCCCUAAAGAGAGGGGCACAGAGAAUGAAUUCUGUUCUCAGCCCUCCUUCAGACUUACUGGGAACCUGCUCAAACCUAGUAACCGCAGUGCGCUUUGGAUCCGGCUUUGUAUAUGCAUAUGUAUAUGGUAAAGGCAUGGCUAGCACUUCCCCAUCCUGACAGGAGGCCUUGGCAAGAAGGAAAACCCAAGUGUUGGGCUCGCGUUUUCAACACUGCUCUGCAUGAAAAGCACCUAUGGUAUGUGCCUGCCAUUCUAGCUCACAUGAAUCCCCAC
This 615-nucleotide long non-coding RNA is filed under the name Struthio camelus australis. RNAcentral describes it as "lncRNA (ENSSCUG00000002569.1)". Lineage: Eukaryota; Metazoa; Chordata; Aves; Struthioniformes; Struthionidae. The record is from RNAcentral.